ACAGGCUUAACACAUGCAAGUCGAGGGGCAGCAUGGUCUUAGCUUGCUAAGGCUGAUGGCGACCGGCGCACGGGUGAGUAACACGUAUCCAACCUGCCGUCUACUCUUGGCCAGCCUUCUGAAAGGAAGAUUAAUCCAGGAUGGCAUCAUGAGUUCACAUGUCCGCAUGAUUAAAGGUAUUUUCCGGUAGACGAUGGGGAUGCGUUCCAUUAGAUAGUAGGCGGGGUAACGGCCCACCUAGUCAACGAUGGAUAGGGGUUCUGAGAGGAAGGUCCCCCACAUUGGAACUGAGACACGGUCCAAACUCCUACGGGAGGCAGCAGUGAGGAAUAUUGGUCAAUGGGCGAUGGCCUGAACCAGCCAAGUAGCGUGAAGGAUGACUGCCCUAUGGGUUGUAAACUUCUUUUAUAAAGGAAUAAAGUCGGGUAUGCAUACCCGUUUGCAUGUACUUUAUGAAUAAGGAUCGGCUAACUCCGUGCCAGCAGCCGCGGUAAUACGGAGGAUCCGAGCGUUAUCCGGAUUUAUUGGGUUUAAAGGGAGCGUAGAUGGAUGUUUAAGUCAGUUGUGAAAGUUUGCGGCUCAACCGUAAAAUUGCAGUUGAUACUGGAUGUCUUGAGUGCAGUUGAGGCAGGCGGAAUUCGUGGUGUAGCGGUGAAAUGCUUAGAUAUCACGAAGAACUCCGAUUGCGAAGGCAGCCUGCUAAGCUGCAACUGACAUUGAGGCUCGAAAGUGU
Molecule: ribosomal RNA, 733 nt
Filed under: uncultured Bacteroidales bacterium
Lineage: Bacteria; Pseudomonadati; Bacteroidota; Bacteroidia; Bacteroidales
Description: bacterial SSU rRNA
Rfam family: Bacterial small subunit ribosomal RNA
Source: RNAcentral